AACGGCCGCGGUACUCUGACCGUGCNNNNCGNUNCAUAAUCAUUUGCCUUAUAAUUGAAGGCUAGUAUGAAUGGUUUGACAAGAAUAUAGCUGUCUCUUUAUAAUUUGAUAGAAUUUUAUUUUUAGGUGAAAAAGCCUUGAUUGAAUUAAAAGACAAGAAGACCCUAUCGAGCUUUAAGAAAGUUGAUGGACGUAAGUUUUUUGUUUAAAAAAGUAUGGCUGUCAAAUAUUUUGGUUGGGGCGACUGAGGAACAUAUAAAGCUUCCUUUUGUAGAAAUAAUUACUUACAUGUGUUUGAUCCUUAGUUAGUGAUUGAAGGAAUUAGUUACCGUAGGGAUAACAGCAUUAUCCUUUUUGAGAGUUCUAAUCGAAAAAGGGGUUUGUGACCUCGAUGUUGGACCAGAAUGUCCUAAAGGUGCAGAAGUCUUUAAGGGUUGGUCUGUUCGACCAUUAAAAUUCUA
Molecule: ribosomal RNA, 461 nt
Filed under: Hastulopsis sp. MNHN IM 2013-58690
Lineage: Eukaryota; Metazoa; Mollusca; Gastropoda; Neogastropoda; Terebridae
Description: partial 16S ribosomal RNA
Rfam family: Bacterial large subunit ribosomal RNA
Source: RNAcentral